RNAcentral lists this ribosomal RNA (346 nucleotides) under Klebsiella oxytoca. RNAcentral describes it as "bacterial SSU rRNA". It matches the Rfam family "Bacterial small subunit ribosomal RNA", at positions 390 to 728 of the family's 1533-position model. Lineage: Bacteria; Pseudomonadati; Pseudomonadota; Gammaproteobacteria; Enterobacterales; Enterobacteriaceae. The record is from RNAcentral.
AGCCAUGCCGCGUGUAUGAAGAAGGCCUUCGGGUUGUAAAGUACUUUCAGCGGGGAGGAAGGCGAUAAGGUUAAUAACCUUGUCGAUUGACGUUACCCGCAGAAGAAGCACCGGCUAACUCCGUGCCAGCAGCCGCGGUAAUACGGAGGGUGCAAGCGUUAAUCGGAAUUACUGGGCGUAAAGCGCACGCAGGCGGUCUGUCAAGUCGGAUGUGAAAUCCCCGGGCUCAACCUGGGAACUGCAUUCGAAACUGGCAGGCUGGAGUCUUGUAGAGGGGGGUAGAAUUCCAGGUGUAGCGGUGAAAUGCGUAGAGAUCUGGAGGAAUACCGGUGGCGAAGGCGGCCCC